GACGAACGCUGGCGGCGUGCUUAACACAUGCAAGUCGAACGGAAAGGCCCUGCUUUUGUGGGGUGCUCGAGUGGCGAACGGGUGAGUAACACGUGAGUAACCUGCCCUUGACUUUGGGAUAACUUCAGGAAACUGGGGCUAAUACCGGAUAGGAGCUCCUGCUGCAUGGUGGGGGUUGGAAAGUUUCGGCGGUUGGGGAUGGACUCGCGGCUUAUCAGCUUGUUGGUGGGGUGGUGGCUUACCAAGGCUUUGACGGGUAGCCGGCCUGAGAGGGUGACCGGCCACAUUGGGACGGAGAUACGGCCCAGACUCCUACGGGAGGCAAGAGUGGGGAAUAUUGCACAAUGGGCGGAGGCCUGAUGCAGCAACGCCGCGUGCGGGAUGACGGCCUUCGGGUUGUAAACCGCUUUCGCCUGUGACGAAGCGUGAGUGACGGUAAUGGGUAAAGAAGCACCGGCUAACUACGU
This 467-nucleotide ribosomal RNA is filed under the name uncultured bacterium. Its description in RNAcentral is "partial 16S ribosomal RNA". It matches the Rfam family "Bacterial small subunit ribosomal RNA", at positions 28 to 506 of the family's 1533-position model. The record is from RNAcentral.